GGUGCUGUAUUUCGGUGGUAGAGUGCUUGCCUUGAAUGCAUGAGGCCCUGGGUUUGAUUCUUCAGCACCA
RNAcentral lists this transfer RNA (70 nucleotides) under Dipodomys ordii (Ord's kangaroo rat). It matches the Rfam family "tRNA". From Rfam's summary of the family: Transfer RNA (tRNA) molecules are approximately 80 nucleotides in length. Their secondary structure includes four short double-helical elements and three loops (D, anti-codon, and T loops). Further hydrogen bonds mediate the characteristic L-shaped molecular structure. tRNAs have two regions of fundamental functional importance: the anti-codon, which is responsible for specific mRNA codon recognition, and the 3' end, to which the tRNAs corresponding amino acid is attached (by aminoacyl-tRNA synthetases). tRNAs cope with the degeneracy of the genetic code in two manners: having more than one tRNA (with a specific anti-codon) for a particular amino acid; and 'wobble' base-pairing, i.e. permitting non-standard base-pairing at the 3rd anti-codon position. The record is from Rfam by way of RNAcentral. Lineage: Eukaryota; Metazoa; Chordata; Mammalia; Rodentia; Heteromyidae.